This 497-nucleotide ribosomal RNA is filed under the name uncultured bacterium. RNAcentral describes it as "partial 16S ribosomal RNA". It matches the Rfam family "Bacterial small subunit ribosomal RNA", at positions 28 to 507 of the family's 1533-position model. The record is from RNAcentral.
GAUGAACGCUGGCGGCGUGCCUAAUACAUGCAAGUCGAGCGAACAGAUGAGGAGCUUGCUCCUCUGACGUUAGCGGCGGACGGGUGAGUAACACGUGGAUAACCUACCUAUAAGACUGGGAUAACUUCGGGAAACCGGAGCUAAUACCGGAUAAUAUAUUGAACCGCAUGGUUCAAUAGUGAAAGACGGUUUUGCUGUCACUUAUAGCUGGAUCCGCGCCGCAUUAGCUAGUUGGUAAGGUAACGGCUUACCAAGGCGACGAUGCGUAGCCGACCUGAGAGGGGGGUCGGCCGCACGGGAACGGAGACACGGUCAAGAGUCCUACGGGAGGCAGCAGUAGGGAAUCUUCCGCAAUGGGCGAAAGCCUGACGGAGCAACGCCGCGUGAGUGAUGAAGGUCUUCGGAUCGUAAAACUCUGUUAUUAGGGAAGAACAAAUGUGUAAGUAACUAUGCACGUCUUGACGGUACCUAAUCAGAAAGCCACGGCUAACUACGUG